GGAAUCGCUAGUAAUCGCAGGUCAGAAUACUGCGGUGAAUACGUUCCCGGGUCUUGUACACACCGCCCGUCACACCAUGGGAGUGGGUUGCUCCAGAAGUAGAUAGCUUAACGAAUGGGCGUUUACCACGGAGUGAUUCAUGACUGGGGUGAAGUCGUAACAAGGUAGCCGUAGGGGAACCUGCGGCUGGAUCACCUCCUUAA
This 203-nucleotide ribosomal RNA is filed under the name Francisella tularensis. RNAcentral describes it as "partial 16S ribosomal RNA". It matches the Rfam family "Bacterial small subunit ribosomal RNA", at positions 1328 to 1533 of the family's 1533-position model. The record is from RNAcentral. Lineage: Bacteria; Pseudomonadati; Pseudomonadota; Gammaproteobacteria; Thiotrichales; Francisellaceae.